AAACAUUGCCUCUAGAUUAUUUUAUUGGAGGUUCAUCCUGCCCAGUGACGUACGCGUUAAACGGCCGCGGUACCCUGACCGUGCUAAGGUAGCAUAAUCAUUUGCCUUUUAAUUGGAGGCUUGUAUGAACGGAUAAACGAAAGUUUUGCUGUCUCUUCAAUAACCAUAAAAAUUAUUCUUUAGGUGAAGAAACCUAGAUAUAUUAAAAAGACGAAAAGACCCUGUGGAGCUUUACUUAUAAAAGCACUUUAUUGAUAUUCAAAAAUAUACAACAUGCUUUGAAAGUUUAGUUGGGGCGACUAAGGAGUAAAAAAAAACCUCUUUAAUCUAUAAGAGCAAUACUUCAAUUCAAUGAUCCACUUUAGUGAAUAAAAAAUCAGCUACCCCAGGGAUAACAGGCUAAUCCUUCUCACGAGUUCACAUUUACAGAAGGGGUUGGCACCUCGAUGUUGGCUUAAGGUGUCUUCAAGGUGCAGCAGCUUUGAUUUAGUGGGUUUGUUCAACCCUUAAAACCUUACGUGAUCU
Molecule: ribosomal RNA, 525 nt
Filed under: Prionospio membranacea
Lineage: Eukaryota; Metazoa; Annelida; Polychaeta; Spionida; Spionidae
Description: partial large subunit ribosomal RNA
Rfam family: Bacterial large subunit ribosomal RNA
Source: RNAcentral